Salvia hispanica is the source of this 766-nucleotide non-coding RNA. NCBI's taxonomy places the organism in Eukaryota, Viridiplantae, Streptophyta, Magnoliopsida, Lamiales, Lamiaceae. The record is from RefSeq and is a predicted model, not a curated record.
GUUAUGAGCCCCGCGCGAGUGAAGAAAACUUUGCCAAAUAUUUUGUCUCACCAUUCUUCACUACGAAAAAAAGAAGUUCUACGGUGCAUUUUCCGACAAACGUCAUUGACUACCGACGAAUUUUCGACUGAUCGGCUGUUGGAUCAACAAAAAGAAGCCAUUCUUUCUGGCUGCUGCUAUGCUAUCUUACUCAAUCUAUACAAUUCAACUCCUUUAGACAAGUUGAGGGAGCCAACAGCUACACUUUCCCAUCAGAAGGCAGCUUCUGAUCCAUCUCCACAGCUGUAGAAUAGGCAGACACAGAGUUCGUCCCCUUAGAUGGAGCUGAGGACGGCGUGUGGAGCUUCUUAGGCAGCAUCUGCUCCCAGCUGUACGCCUUAGGCGUUCUCGCGGCUUCAGACAUGAAAACAAGAGCAAGCAAGCUCAGAACCAAGCACUUGUGCCUCCAAGAAACAGACAUGAUGAAGAGAAAUGCAGUGGAAGAAUUUGUGAGGAAUCAGGCUUUUUAAGGAGAGGAAUAAGCAGACAUGUUGAGCAAUCUAAGAAGACAGUGUUGUAAUAGAAUAAUGGGUGAGUUUGUUAAGGAAUUAUGUGUUUGAUGCCUUUUCUCUUUUCUUAUCUUAUCCAAUCAGACAACAACUUAUGCAGCAUUUCUUGAGGAAUGAUUCAAUUACACAUGACCCCACUGUAGUAGGAAUUAGUCAUUCUUUUAACUGGGGACACAGAUUUGUCAAAGUGAAGAAAAAACAAUCACUAGUUCCACUGA